This 180-nucleotide non-coding RNA is filed under the name Rhodocyclaceae bacterium. Its description in RNAcentral is "6S RNA". It matches the Rfam family "6S / SsrS RNA". Rfam says of the family: E. coli 6S RNA was the first non coding RNA to be sequenced, but its function was unknown until recently. It consists of 184 nucleotides that fold into an extended hairpin structure with a large single-stranded internal bulge. The record is from RNAcentral. Lineage: Bacteria; Pseudomonadati; Pseudomonadota; Betaproteobacteria; Rhodocyclales; Rhodocyclaceae.
AAUUCCCUGCGGUGUUCGCCAAGGCCCUACAUUCCUUGAACCAAUGUGCAUGUGCAUCGGUUGCCGCCCAUAGACGCCGCCGUUGUGAGCACUCCUCGUCGAGUGCACCUGAAGCGGCAGGAACGCGACCUCUCUGAACCCAGGUUCAGGAUGCCGGCCAAACGGCACUGCGGGGAACCC